GUUCAACCCUCACCCUUCCUUGCUUUUCCCGCCUAUAUACCACCGUCGUCAGCUUACCCUGUGAAGGUUUUAUAGUAAGCAAAGUUGGCACAGCCUAAAACGUCAGGUCGAGGUGUAGUGCAUGAGAGGGGAAGAAAUGGGCUACAUUCGCUACCGAUAGCGAAUUACGAAUGUUGCAUUGAAACAUGCAGCUGAAGGAGGAUUUAGCAGUAAGCAGAAAGCAGAGCGUCCCGCUGAAACUGGCCCUAAAGCGCGCACACACCGCCCGUCACCCUCCCCAAGCUUCCGGCCCUAAUUAAUUAAAACCCUACAACUGCAAAGGAGAGGAAAGUCGUAACAUGGUAAGUGUACCGGAAGGUGCGCUUGGAAAAAU
This 373-nucleotide ribosomal RNA is filed under the name Istiophorus platypterus (Indo-Pacific sailfish). RNAcentral's name for it is "partial 12S ribosomal RNA". It matches the Rfam family "Bacterial small subunit ribosomal RNA", at positions 1017 to 1533 of the family's 1533-position model. Lineage: Eukaryota; Metazoa; Chordata; Actinopteri; Istiophoriformes; Istiophoridae. The record is from RNAcentral.